This 254-nucleotide ribosomal RNA is filed under the name uncultured bacterium. RNAcentral's name for it is "partial 16S ribosomal RNA". It matches the Rfam family "Bacterial small subunit ribosomal RNA", at positions 524 to 776 of the family's 1533-position model. The record is from RNAcentral.
UACGAAGGGGGCUAGCGUUGCUCGGAAUGACUGGGCGUAAAGGGCGCGUAGGCGGCUUUGUCAGUUGGGCGUGAAAUUCCUGGGCUUAACCUGGGGGCUGCGUUCGAGACGGCGGGUCUUGAGUGGGGAAGAGGGUCGUGGAAUUCCCAGUGUAGAGGUGAAAUUCGUAGAUAUUGGGAAGAACACCGGUGGCGAAGGCGGCGACCUGGUGCUGUGACUGACGCUGAGGCGCGAAAGCGUGGGGAGCAAACAGG